CGACCUCAGAUCAGACGUGGCGACCCGCUGAAUUUAAGCAUAUUAAUCAGCGGAGGAAAAGAAACUAACAAGGAUUCCCUCAGUAACCGCGAGUAAACCGGGCAGAGCCCAGCGCCGAAUCCCUGCCCCGGUGGGGCGCGGGAAAUGUGGCGUCCUGAAGACCCAGUCCCUGGCGCCGCUAGUGGGGGGCCCAAGUCCUUCCGAUUGAGGCGCAGCCCUGGACGGUGUGAGGCCAGUAGCGGCCCCGGGCGCGCCGGAUCCGGUCUUCCCGGAGUCGGCUUGCUGGGGAAUGCAGCCCAGAGCGGGCGGUAAACUCCAUCUAAGGCUAAAUACCGGCACGAGACCGAUGGUCAACAAGUACUGUAAGGGAAAGGUGAAAAGAACUUUGCAGAGAAAGUUCAAGAGGGCAUGAAACCCUUAAGAGCUAACCCGGUGGGGUCCAGCAGUCCACCCAGAGGAUUCAACCCAGUAGUGUUGUCCGUUGUCCUGCCGUUUCCGUGGUCUCCUAGCCAAUCGUUCCACCAUUCCUCCGGACCCCUUCACUCAUCAGCCCUCCCCUCCCCCGCCGCCGCCCCUCCUUCCUUCCGGGAGAGGGGGACGGGUAAGCCGGGCCAGGGGUGGGGUCGGCGGGCGCAUUUCCACUGAGGCCUUGAGCCGCGACCCGCUCCAGGACGGCUGGGAAGGCCCGGCAGGGAAGGUGGCUCGGGGGUCCCCCGCCCUCAUCGUUCCCACGGCGUGGUGCGGGGCUGGGGGCUAGCGGGUGUCAUCCGUGGCCACGCCCAGAAAACCGGGAAGCGAGCGCACGGGGUCUGCGGUGAUGUCGGCUACCACCUGAUCAGUCUUGAAACAGGGCUCAAGGAGUCGUGUUAACAGGUGCGCGAGUUGGGGGCUCGUUGGAAAGCCGCCGUGGCGCAGUGAAGGUGAAGGCUGGGGAGUGGUGGCGGCGUGCUGUGGGGGGAGGGUGCGUGGGGUGGGUCUGGGGCGGGGUUGGCGGUGGCGCCCUCCCGCCUGCUCCUCAUCCUGUCACCCCCCCCUACCCCGCGCGCCCUGUCUCGCCGGCCAAAGUGGGAUCCUGAGGCCUCUCCAGUCCACCGAGGGCGCACCACGGUCCUGUCUCACCCGCCGCGCCUGGGAGGUGGAGCAGGAGCGCAUGUGUUAGGACCCAAAGAUGGUGAACUAUACCUGGGCAGGGCUAAGCCAGAGGAAACUCUGGUGGAGGUCCGUAGAGGUCCUGACGUGCAAAUCGGUCGUUCCACUGGAUAUUGGGGCGAAAGACUAAUCGAACCAUUUAGUAGCUGGUUCGCUCCAAAGUUUCCAUGAGGAUAGCUGGUUCUCUCGCAAAACAGCAACGCAGUUUUAUCCGGUAAAGCGUAUGAUUGGAGGUCUUGGGGCCGAAACGAUCUCAACCUAUUCUCAAACUUUAAAUGGGUAAGAAGCCCGGCUCGCUGGCGUGGAGCCAGGCGCGGAAUGCGAGUGCCUAGUGGGUAAGCAGAACUGGCGCUGCGGGACGAAUCAAACGCCGGGUUAAGGCGCCCGAUGCGGACGCUUAUCAGACCCCAGAAAAGGUGUUGGCUGAUAUAGACAGCAGGACGGUGGCCAUGGAAGUCGGAAUCCGCUCAGGAGUGUGUAACAGCUCACCUGCCAAAUCUACUAGCCCUGAAAAUGGAUGGCGCUGGAGCGUCGGGCCCAUACCCGGCCGUCGCUGGCAGUCGGAUCUGGACGGGAGCGGGAGGGGGGAUCCGCGUGGGCGGGGUUCGCCCCCUCCCCGCCCCUCCAAGCGUGUGUAGCCGGGCGGAUGCUAGGCCGCGACCAGUAGGAGGGCCGCUGUGGUGAGCCUUGAAGCCCGGGUGGAGCAGCUGCAGGUGCAGAUCUUGGUGGUAGUAGCAAAUAUUCAAAGGAGAACUCUGAAGGCCGAAGUGGAGAAGGGUUCCAUGUGAACAGCAGUUGAACAUGAGUCAGUCAGUCCCGAGAGAUGGGCGAGCGCUGUUCCGCAGGGACAGGCGAUGGCCUCCGUUGCUCUCAGCCGAUCCAAAGGGAGUCGGGUUCAGAUCCCCGAAUCCGGAGUGGUGGAGAUGAUCGCCACGAGGCGUCCAAUGCGGUAACGCGACCGAUCCCGCAGAAGCCGGCGGGAGCCCGGGGGAGAAUUCUCUUUGUGAAGCGCGGGGCGUCCUGGACUGCGUUCUCCCCGAGAGAGGGGCCCGUGCCUUGGAAAGCGUCGCGGUUCCGGCAUAGUCCGGUGAGCUCUCGCUGGCCCUUGAACAUCCGGGGGACAGGGUGUAAAUCUCGCGCCAGGCGACGGUACCGAUAUCUGCAGCAGGUCUCCAAAAGGAACAGCCUCUGGCAUGUUGGAACAAGGUAGGUAACGGAAGUCGGCAAGCCGGAUCCGUAACUUCGGGAUAAGGAUUGGCUCUAAGGACUGGGUCGGUGGCCUGGGGCGCGAAGCGGGAAAUGGGCCCGCGCUGCGGCUGGACGAGGCGCCUCCCCCACCCUAAGACAAGGGGUUCACCCUCGCCCAGAUACGCACCGCGGACCAUUUCGGUCCAGACUCCGACCCUCCCGUACCGCGCCUUUCGUCAACUCCGAUGUGCAGCGGCGACGGCGGCGGCGGCAAGGCCCCCCGGCGGUCCGGCGAUCACGGGGCAUUUUCCCUCGGGUCCACCGACCCCCCUCUUGGGGGCCCGAGGGGGGGGGGGGGGGUUAGCCGUCGUUAAUUCUGGACGCGAGCCCUUCCCGUGGAUCACCCCAGCUAAGGCGGGCGUCGCGGCGGUACGGGGGAGCCCGGCGGGCCCCCUGCGCACCCGGCUCCUCUCCCUUUCCUCUCCGGGGUCCCCUCCCUCUCGACCCCCCCCCCCCCACAUCCCGGUGUGGUGCGCGUCGGCGGCGGCGGGUUGUGGGGUUCGCCCCCUCCCCCGUCUGUUCCUGCUGCGCGCUCCCCCGGCGGCGGCGGCGGGGAAAAGCGUGUGGGGGGAGUCGUCGGUUUUGGGGGGAGCGGCGAGGCCGGUCUCCCCCGCCAGCUGAGCCCCCGGGCCGCGGUUCCGCGCGGCGCUCCGCCUCGGCCGGCGCCUAGCAGCCGACUUAGAACUGGUGCGGACCAGGGGAAUCGGACUGUUUAAUUAAAACAAAGCAUCGUGAAGGCCAGCGGAGGGUGCUGACGCGAUGUGAUUUCUGCCCACUGCUCUGAAUGCCAAAGUGAAGAAAUUCAAGGAAGCGCGGUAAACGGCCGGAGUAACUCUGACUCUCAAGGUAGCCAAAUGCCUCGUUAUCUAAUUAGUGACGCGCUUGAAUGAACAAGAUUCCCACUGUCCCUACCUACUAUCCAGCGAAACCACAGCCAAGGGAACGGGCUUGGCGGAAUCAGCAAGGAAAGAAGACCCUGUUGAGCUUGACUCUAGUCUGGCUCGGUGAAGAGACGUGAGAGGUGUAGAAUGAGUGGGAGGCGAGGUGUAGAAUGAGAGGUGUAGAAUUUCCCGCGAGGGGGCGGGGUGGGGUCCGCCAGCCUCCUGGCCACUAGUGAAAUACCACUACUCUGAUCGUUUUUUCACUGAUCCGGUGAGUGUGGGGGGGAAGCCCCAGGAGCUCUCGCUUGUGGUGCCAAGAGCCUGGUCCUCCGCGCUGCGUCGCCGCGCGCGCCGUCGUCCUGCUGGGCGCGACCCGCUCUGGGGACAGCGCCAGGUGGGGAGUUCGACUGGGGCGGUACACCUGUCAAACGGUAACGCAGCUAUCCUAAGCUCAGGGAGGACAGAAACCUCCCGUGGAGCAGAAGGGCGAAAGCUCGCUGGAUCUUGAUUUUCAGUACGAAUACAGACCAUGAAGGCGGGGCCUCACGAUCCUUCUGACCUUUUGGGUUUUAAGCAGGAGGUGUCAGGAAAGUUACCACAGGGAUAACUGGCUUGUGGCGGCCAAGCGUUCCUAGCCACGUCGCUUUUUGAUCCUUCGAUGUAGGCUCUUCCUAUCAUUGUGAGGCAGAAUUCACCAAGCGUUGGAUGUUCACCCGCUCAUAGGGAACGUGAGCUGAGUUUAGACAGACUGUGGUGAUUCAGGUUAGUUUUACCCCACUAGUGAUGUGUUGUUGCCAUGGUAACCCUGCUCAGUACAAGAAGGAACCGCAGGUUCAGACACUGGUGUAUGUGCCUGGCUGAGGAGCCAGUGGGGCGAAGCCACCAUCUGUGGGAUUGUGACUGAACGCCUCUAAGUCAGAAUCCCGCCCAGGGUGAACCUAGGACAGCGCCGAAGGAGGCUCCAUUAGCCUGCUCGUCCCCGCCUAUGGACCGGGUCCGGUGUAGAGAGCCCCUAGUCCUGGGAAAUGGGGCGCGGCCGGAAAGGAGGCGGCCCUCUCGCCAAUCACGGAAUGCACGUUGGUGGGGAACUUGGCGAUUCUAGACGAUUCCAGACGAUCUGCUUCUGGGUCGGGAUUUCGUACCUAGCAGAGCAGCUCCCUGGCUGCGGACUAUUGGUCAGCCCUGGACACAAGGGUUUGU
This is a ribosomal RNA of Cavia porcellus (domestic guinea pig), 4478 nucleotides long. It matches the Rfam family "Eukaryotic large subunit ribosomal RNA". NCBI's taxonomy places the organism in Eukaryota, Metazoa, Chordata, Mammalia, Rodentia, Caviidae. The record is from Rfam.